UACUGGGGGGGCAAGCGUUGUUCGGAAUUACUGGGCGUAAAGGGUCUGUAGGUGGCCAACUAAGUCAAACGUGAAAUCCCUCAGCUUAACUGGGGAACUGCGUCUGAUACUGGAUGGCUCGAGUGUGGGAGAGGAAUGCGGAAUUCCAGGUGUAGCGGUGAAAUGCGUAGAUAUCUGGAGGAACACCGGUGGCGAAGGCGGCAUUCUGGACCACAACUGACACUGAGAGACGAAAGCCAGGGGAGCAAACGGG
This 253-nucleotide ribosomal RNA is filed under the name uncultured bacterium. RNAcentral's name for it is "partial 16S ribosomal RNA". It matches the Rfam family "Bacterial small subunit ribosomal RNA", at positions 524 to 776 of the family's 1533-position model. The record is from RNAcentral.